Molecule: ribosomal RNA, 258 nt
Filed under: uncultured bacterium
Lineage: Bacteria
Description: partial 16S ribosomal RNA
Rfam family: Bacterial small subunit ribosomal RNA
Source: RNAcentral
GUCCACGCCCUAACGAUGAUUACUCGACAUUGGCGAUACACUGUCAGUGUCUGAGCGAAAGCAUUAAGUAAUCCACCUGGGAAGUACGACCGCAAGGUUGAACUCAAAGGAAUUGGCGGGGUCCGCACAAGCGGUGGAGCAUGUGGUUUAAUUCGAUGAUACGCGAGGAACCUUACCUGGGCUAGAAUGCAUUUUGACCGUGGGUGAAAGCUCACUUUGUAGCAAUACACAAUUUGUAAGGUGCUGCAUGGCUGUCGU